This 292-nucleotide ribosomal RNA is filed under the name uncultured bacterium. RNAcentral's name for it is "partial 16S ribosomal RNA". It matches the Rfam family "Bacterial small subunit ribosomal RNA", at positions 505 to 796 of the family's 1533-position model. The record is from RNAcentral.
GUGUCAGCAGCCGCGGUAAUACGGGGGGUGCAAGCGUUGUUCGGAAUUAUUGGGCGUAAAGAGCGUGUAGGCGGCCUGAUGUGUCAGAUGUGAAAGCCCUGGGCUUAACCCAGGAAGUGCAUUUGAAACUGUCAGGCUUGAGUAGGGGAGAGGGAAGUGGAAUUCCUGGUGUAGAGGUGAAAUUCGUAGAUAUCAGGAGGAACACCGGUGGCGAAGGCGACUUCCUGGCCCUAUACUGACGCUGAGACGCGAGAGCGUGGGUAGCAAACAGGAUUAGAAACCCCCGUAGUCC